Molecule: ribosomal RNA, 460 nt
Filed under: uncultured bacterium
Lineage: Bacteria
Description: partial 16S ribosomal RNA
Rfam family: Bacterial small subunit ribosomal RNA
Source: RNAcentral
CCUACGGGAGGCAGCAGUGAGGAAUAUUGGUCAAUGGGCGCGAGUCUGAACCAGCCAAGUAGCGUGAAGGAUGACUGUCCUACGGGCUGUAAACUUCUUUUAUAAAGGAAUAAAGUGAGGCACGCGUGCCUUCUUGCAUGUACUUUAUGAAUAAGGAUCGGAUAACCCCGUGCCAGUAGCCGCGGCAAUACGGAGGGUCCGAGCGUUACCCGGAUUUAAUGGGUUUAAAGGGAGCGUCGGUUGGUCUGUAAGUCAGGUGUGAAAGUUUGCGGCUCAACCGUAGAAUGGCAAUUGAUACUGGCAGCCUUGAAUACGGUAGAGGUAGGCGGAAUUCGUGGUGUAGCAGUGAAAUGCGUAGAUAUCACGAAGAACUCCGGUUGCGAAGGCAGCUUACUAAACUGGCACUGACAUUGAUGCUCGAAAGUGUGGGUAGCAAACAGGAUUAGAUACCCUGGUAGUC